This is a long non-coding RNA of Etheostoma spectabile (orangethroat darter), 221 nucleotides long. RefSeq lists it as uncharacterized. The record is from RefSeq and is a predicted model, not a curated record. NCBI's taxonomy places the organism in Eukaryota, Metazoa, Chordata, Actinopteri, Perciformes, Percidae. The transcript is spliced from 3 exons.
GGGCUCAGGAACAUUUUGCUUGUCCAGCUCGCUCCGUUGGUGAUGAAGGAGUUGGCUAAGGCUAACGCUAGCGAUGCUAAUGCUAAAUAUAAGCCUGAUAUUCCCCUCUUGUUGCACAUGACCAAUGUCACGACCAAACAUUAGUGAUUGGUUAUGGCAGAUCCAGUAGUUUUCAACUUCAACAGAGUACCCGCCUUCAAGGAAAUUACCACUUGUCAACA